RNAcentral lists this ribosomal RNA (427 nucleotides) under uncultured bacterium. Its description in RNAcentral is "bacterial SSU rRNA". It matches the Rfam family "Bacterial small subunit ribosomal RNA", at positions 355 to 774 of the family's 1533-position model. The record is from RNAcentral.
UGGGGAAUUUUGGACAAUGGGCGCAAGCCUGAUCCAGCCAUGCCGCGUGCAGGAUGAAGGCCUUCGGGUUGUAAACUGCUUUUGUACGGAACGAAAAGACUCCUUCUAAUAAAGGGGGCCCAUGACGGUACCGUAAGAAUAAGCACCGGCUAACUACGUGCCAGCAGCCGCGGUAAUACGUAGGGUGCAAGCGUUAAUCGGAAUUACUGGGCGUAAAGCGUGCGCAGGCGGUUAUGCAAGACAGAGGUGAAAUCCCCGGGCUCAACCUGGGAACUGCCUUUGUGACUGCAUAGCUAGAGUACGGUAGAGGGGGAUGGAAUUCCGCGUGUAGCAGUGAAGUGCGUAGCUAUGCGGAGGAACACCGAUAGCGAAGGCAAUCCCCUGGACCUGUAAUGACGAUCAUGCACGAAAGCGUGGGGAGCAAACA